RNAcentral lists this long non-coding RNA (1757 nucleotides) under Homo sapiens (human). RNAcentral describes it as "HSALNT0108003". Lineage: Eukaryota; Metazoa; Chordata; Mammalia; Primates; Hominidae. The record is from RNAcentral.
AUAACAUAAGAAAACCUAGAUAAAUGAGUAUGGAUAUCACUUUUCAGAUGAAAAACCAAAGUUAUGAUACAUGAAAGAAACAAUUGACUAAUGAGGCUUGAUUAUAAUGAAAAAUUCUUGUUCUGUGAAAAACAAUGCCAAAAGAAUGAGGAGAUGUCACAAACUGGUAGAAAAAAUUUGCAGAUUAUUUUCUAAUGUUAAGGACUAUUGUUUAAUAAAUAUAAUAAAGGCUAUUUUACAAAAUGUACACAUAAUUUGUAAAACUCAAAAAUAAGAAAAUGAAAAACCUAAUUAUGUAUGGGGGGUGGGGGGCGCAAAAUCCUGAAGUGACAUCUUACUGAAAACAAUGCAAAUUGCAUGUAAGCAUAUGGAAAGACGCUUAUCAUAUGCCAUCAAGGAAAUGCAUAUUUAAACAACAAUGAGAUACCAAAACACAUCCAUUAGAAUAAUCAAAAUUCAAAACACAGAAAGCACCAAACGCUGGCAAAGAUGUAGAGCAACAGAAAUUCUCAUUCACUGCUGAUGGGAAUGCAAAACAGUAUAUUUUCACUUUGGAAGACAAUGUGGCAGUUUCUUAGAAAACUAAACACAGUCUUACCAUGCAAUUCAGCUAUUGCACUCUUUGUCAUUUACCCAAAUGAGUUCAAAACGUAUGUUCACACCAAGACUUGCAGGUGAAUAUUUAUAGCAUUUUCACUUAUGAUUUCCAAGACCUGGAAUCAAACAACAUAUUCUUCAGAAGGUGAAUCAACAAAUAAACUGUGCUAUAUCCAAUGAAAUAUUCAGUGCUAAAAAGAAAUGAAUUAUGAUAUCGAGCUAUGAAAUGACACGAAGAAAACUUAAAUGUAUAUUACUAAGUAAAAGAAGCCAAUCUGAAAAGGCUACAUACUGUAUGGUUCCAACUUUAUAACAUCCUGGAAAAGGUAAAGUAUGAAGUGAAAUCACAAGGCAGGCUGUGAAAAAACAAAAAGGCUGGAUGUGCAGAGGCCUGCAGAGGACAGAAGGCCCUUCCAGUGCCUAGGCGUUUAUCCAGGAAGGACUGUUAGGUGUCAUAGGUCAUAAAUGAAGAAUAUGUAUUAAAAUCACUGUAGCCAAAAUGUUAUAUUGUGAAGUGAGUCAUUUUAUUACAAAUGUUGCCCCCUCAAUGUUCAACUCUGUAGCUUGAUGUGGAUAAAAUGUCUUUUUCUCCUUGAGAUUUUUGUGCUUAUGCAUUCUGGAGAACUGAUAAAAUCAGAGUCCUCAGAAAAAUAGCGUAUCUUGACAACCACUCAAGUUGUUUCAUUUCUCUAUUGUAUCUGUGUAUAUAUGUUUUUAAAAUAAUCAUUAAAUCCUGUAAUACUGCUAUUUUAUUGAAGAUUGGAGAUAAAACUUAGAAAUAUAUUCCUAAUGAACAGAGAUUCUAAAAUGCCAGUUAACUUACUUACCAUGUCAAAGCAACUAAGCAAAAGGAAAUAAAAACCUGCUUUGUUUUUCCAUCACCCACAUAUCCGUCCUCCUUCUCCACCAUCAUUUAAAGUCUGUUUCUGUUCACUUUGACAUAGAAGCAGGAGUGAGCAAUAUGCCAUGUUAUUAAUGUGUUUACAAACUAUUUUAUAAUUAGUAAUAGUUUCAUAUCUAAUUUUCUAAAAUACAUAUUUCCUUAUUUUUAUCUUAGAAACAAAGUUAUUUCUUCCAGAAAAUAGAAAUGUUCUAUGUAAACAUUUAAACUUUCUCAUUAAAUUAUAUAUCAGUCUUCUCAAAAUUGAACUUUAUUUAAU